CUCUCCUCUCUCUCUUCCU
Molecule: small nuclear RNA, 19 nt
Filed under: Arabidopsis thaliana (thale cress)
Lineage: Eukaryota; Viridiplantae; Streptophyta; Magnoliopsida; Brassicales; Brassicaceae
Description: snRNA_09470
Source: RNAcentral